CCUUGUAGGAUUAGGAUCGAUUGCCUUGGGUAGGCGGCUGGUGUGCACUGCGCCCAUAGCGCUACCUAAGGGAUCACUCGAGCCAUCGAUCGAAGGCCUUGGGAGUGAUGACCCUUUGCCUUUAGGUCUGAAGGCUUGGGAGCCGAAGCCUUAUCGAGUCUAGUUGCAUUAGUUAGCCCCAGCCUCAUGCAUCCAUGUUAGCAUUUCCUAGGUUAGAGUCAGCCUCACCCUCUUUUAAGCACAUUAGGCACGAGGGAAGGGGUUCCACCCCUUUUACUUGCUUUUAUUGUAUUUCUUUUCUUAAUUGCUCCCAAUGUGUUAUGUGAACUAUCAAUUGCACUAACCAUUCUUUUGUUUUCUUGGAUUGCAUUCAUGGGCCUUAGCAAUAAGAGGCCUUUUGGCACUCUUUUAGUGACUUACCCACUAGAUGACUCACAUGUUUAAAUUUCAGUCAUUACACUUAAUUUUCAGUAAGUACAUUUUUCAUUUUUAGACCUUUUCCCCCCGA
This 508-nucleotide long non-coding RNA is filed under the name Coffea arabica (coffee). RNAcentral's name for it is "long non-coding RNA (CARA_LNC008038)". Lineage: Eukaryota; Viridiplantae; Streptophyta; Magnoliopsida; Gentianales; Rubiaceae. The record is from RNAcentral.